Long non-coding RNA from Doryrhamphus excisus (bluestripe pipefish), 1701 nucleotides. RefSeq lists it as uncharacterized. The record is from RefSeq and is a predicted model, not a curated record. NCBI's taxonomy places the organism in Eukaryota, Metazoa, Chordata, Actinopteri, Syngnathiformes, Syngnathidae.
GAUCGUUUUACUCGGAAAACAUCUAUCAUGGCGUCCGUGCCGACAUCGUGUGAUUCUUCAACAACGUCGGAAGGAAAACACCAAAAACUGAUGAAAGAGUGCCUCCUAAAGAAGUAUUUUACUAGCGGCAGCAAAUGAAAUGAUGACACAGGGUUCCUGCUUGGACCGCUGAUGAGGAAGAAAAUGUGGCAGGUGCAUCUAGAGCAACUCAUGGGCGUUAAGGAAGUCCGUGGUGGUGAAGACGCCUUCAGGGGUUGACACGGUCUCUGCGUCGACGCCCUCUGCUGCCGGGCACAGCGUCAGGUCCAGCCAGUCCAUAGCGUGAAGGUCCGAGUGAAGCUCCUCCAUCAGCUUCAGCGGUUCAGCGUCCGCACUCAGGAGGGAGUCCAAGCGGCUGUCGGGUGCCAGCGCUGUGGGCGGCACAUGUGCCACCUGGACCAGAGGCGGUGGACGUGAUAGGACUGUGUUGACAGGCAGGAGGGUGACGCUGGGUGUGACGGGAAGGCGCUUGUUGAUGCUGGGAGGAUCCUGCUUGAUGAAAGGUGCUAUCUCUGCAAAACAUGGGAAUGAAAAAAACAAGGUGAUGAUUUAUUUAGGGUUAACUAGGGUUGGGGUUUCAAACUUGGGCAGUUUGGCUCGCUAUUCUUACCGCCGCUUUCAAUCAAGACAUCGAACAGGUCGUCCAUCUGCUGGCUGGCUGCAGAGACGCCCUACAGGAAGACAAAUCAAAAACAUUGAACAUUCUUCAUUCUAAGAGUGCUAAGUGUUUAUAUAAGUGCCUACCUCUGAAAAUGCUAUAAAUGUUCAUAUAACUAUGUUAGCAUGCUAACAUUACAUGCUAAAUUUUUAACAUGAUAGCAUUGUCCAAGUUCAUAUUCAUGACAAAUUGCAAAAAAUGCUAGUAGGUGCAUGUCGACCUCAGAAAAUGGCUAAAAACUAGUACUAUGCUAAAGGUAGCAUUCUCACAAUAUUAACAUACUAAUGUUAGCAUGCUAACACCGAAUGUUAUAAUGGAAAGUGUUUAUAUAUACAGUAUGUCUACCCAUGAAAAUAGCAAACAAUUUUACUAUGCUAAUAUUAGCAUGCUAGCAAUAAUACAUGCUAAUGUUAACACCUAGCAUAAUAGUGCUAAGUGUCUACGACAAUGGGCGAAAAUUCUACUAUGCUAAUGUUAACAUGCUAUAACACCUGGCAUUAUAUUAAUACAUGUUUAUAUGUGUGUCUAUCCAUGAAAAUAGCUAGCAAAACUAACAUGCUAAUAUUAGCAUGUUAACAUAAUAGUGGUGUUUCAUGUGUCUACCCUUAAAAAAUGUUAGUAUGCUAUUGCUGGCAUGCUAGCAUCAUUAACAUGCUAAUUUUAACAUGCUAACACCUAGCAUAAUAGCGCUAAGUUUUUAUGUGUCUACUGAUGACAAUGGGUCAAACCGCUACUAUGCUAAUGUGAGCAUAUUAGCAAUGUUAACAUGUUAACGGUACCAUGUUAACACCUAGCAUGAUAGUGUUGGUGUUUAUAUAAAGUGUCUACUCGUGAAAAUAGCAAAAAAAAUGCCAGGGCUAGCAUGCUAACACCGCAAACGUGUUUAUACGUGUCUCCCCAUGAAAGUAGCAGAAAAAGUUACUAUGCUAAUAUUAGCAUGUUGAAAAUAGAGACAAAUAGUAGAGACAAAAUGUGCUGUAUACAUGAUAUUUGGGUAUUGCUAA